This 289-nucleotide small RNA is filed under the name Caenorhabditis elegans. RNAcentral's name for it is "Unclassified non-coding RNA Y39E4B.19". The record is from RNAcentral. Lineage: Eukaryota; Metazoa; Nematoda; Chromadorea; Rhabditida; Rhabditidae.
UUCAACGAAUGUCUCCUGGUACAUUGCUUGCCAUAUAUGGAGGAAUGCGUCUGCCCAGGAACUCCCAGAAGCUUAAAAGAGCGGCUUUUCGGGCUUUAUUCGCUCUAUACUUUCUAUUACAUACAACAAGAAAAGCAUGUCGUUAAAGUUCGUAUGGACCCGGAUUCAUCUCGCAACUUCCGAAGGUUCGCACAGUUUCUGCUGACGGAGAAGAUUUACGAUGCUUAUGCGUUGUGCCAGAAGUUGCUCGAGGAUAAGGCUAUCAAGCAAGUCGCAUUCAUAUCGAUUG